AACGCUAGCGGCAGGCCUAAUACAUGCAAGUCGGACGGGAUCCGUUGGUAGCUUGCUACCAAUGGUGAGAGUGGCGCACGGGUGCGUAACGCGUGAGCAACCUACCUCUAUCAGGGGGAUAGCCUCUCGAAAGAGAGAUUAACACCGCAUAACAUCAACAGUUCGCAUGUUCGGUUGAUUAAAUAUUUAUAGGAUAGAGAUGGGCUCGCGUGACAUUAGCUAGUUGGUAGGGUAACGGCUUACCAAGGCGACGAUGUCUAGGGGCUCUGAGAGGAGAAUCCCCCACACUGGUACUGAGACACGGACCAGACUCCUACGGGAGGCAGCAGUAAGGAAUAUUGGUCAAUGGGCGGAAGCCUGAACCAGCCAUGCCGCGUGCAGGAUGACUGCCCUAUGGGUUGUAAACUGCUUUUGUCCAGGAAUAACCCCAGAUACGUGUAUCUGGCUGAAUGUACUGGAAGAAUAAGGAUCGGCUAACUCCGUG
This 484-nucleotide ribosomal RNA is filed under the name uncultured Sphingobacterium sp. RNAcentral's name for it is "bacterial SSU rRNA". It matches the Rfam family "Bacterial small subunit ribosomal RNA", at positions 32 to 507 of the family's 1533-position model. Lineage: Bacteria; Pseudomonadati; Bacteroidota; Sphingobacteriia; Sphingobacteriales; Sphingobacteriaceae. The record is from RNAcentral.